AACGAACGCUGGCGGCAUGCCUAACACAUGCAAGUCGAACGAGACCUUCGGGUCUAGUGGCGCACGGGUGCGUAACGCGUGGGAAUCUGCCCUUGGGUUCGGAAUAACAGUUGGAAACGACUGCUAAUACCGGAUGAUGACGUAAGUCCAAAGAUUUAUCGCCCAAGGAUGAGCCCGCGUAGGGUUAGCUAGUUGGUGAGGUAAAGGCUCACCAAGGCGACGAUCCUUAGCUGGUCUGAGAGGAUGAUCAGCCACACUGGGACUGAGACACGGCCCAGACUCCUGCGGGAGGCAGCAGUGGGGAAUAUUGGACAAUGGGCGAAAGCCUGAUCCAGCAAGGCCGCGUGAGUGAUGAAGGCCUUAGGGUUGUAAAGCUCUUUUACCCGGGAUGAUAAUGACAGUACCGGGAGAAUAAGCUCCGGCUAACUCCGUG
RNAcentral lists this ribosomal RNA (433 nucleotides) under uncultured bacterium. RNAcentral describes it as "partial 16S ribosomal RNA". It matches the Rfam family "Bacterial small subunit ribosomal RNA", at positions 29 to 507 of the family's 1533-position model. The record is from RNAcentral.